UACGGAGGGUGCAAGCGUUAUCCGGAUUUACUGGGCUUAAAGGGUGCGUAGGGGGGGCUGUAAGUCAGUGGUGAAAUCUCCGAGCUUAACUCGGAAACUGCCAUUGAUACUAUAGGUCUUGAAUUAUCUGGAGGUAAGCGGAAUAUGUCAUGUAGCGGUGAAAUGCUUAGAUAUGACAUAGAACACCAAUUGCGAAGGCAGCUUACUACGGAUUGAUUGACACUGAGGCACGAAGGCGUGGGGAUCAAACAGG
RNAcentral lists this ribosomal RNA (253 nucleotides) under uncultured bacterium. Its description in RNAcentral is "partial 16S ribosomal RNA". It matches the Rfam family "Bacterial small subunit ribosomal RNA", at positions 524 to 776 of the family's 1533-position model. The record is from RNAcentral.